Molecule: ribosomal RNA, 325 nt
Filed under: uncultured eukaryote
Lineage: Eukaryota
Description: partial 18S ribosomal RNA
Rfam family: Eukaryotic small subunit ribosomal RNA
Source: RNAcentral
CCCUUAGAUGUUCUGGGCUGCACGCGCGCUACACUGAUGCGCUCAACGAGUUUUAACCUUGCCUGGAAAGGUUGGGUAAUCUUUUUAAAACGCAUCGUGAUGGGGAUAGAUUAUUGCAAUUAUUAAUCUUCAACGAGGAAUUCCUAGUAAGCUUUAGUCAUCAGCUAGAGUUGAUUACGUCCCUGCCCUUUGUACACACCGCCCGUCGCUUCUACCGAUUGAGUGUCUCGGUGAAUACUUUGGACUGCUUUCUUAUCGGUUCGCCGAUUUGCUAAGCGGAAAAUUGAGUGAACCUCGACACUUAGAGGAAGAAGAAGUCGUAACA